GACGAACGCUGGCGGCGUGCUUAACACAUGCAAGUCGAACGGAAAGGCCCUGCUUUUGUGGGUUGCUCGAGUGGCGAACGGUUGAGUAACACGUGAGUAACCUGCCCUUGACUUUGGGAUAACUUCAGGAAACUGGGGCUAAUACCGGAUAGGAGCUCCUGCUGCAUGGUGGGGGUUGGAAAGUUUCGGCGGUUGGGGAUGGACUCGCGGCUUAUCAGCUUGGUGGUGGGGUAGUGGCUUACCAAGGCUUUGACGGGUAGCCGGCCUGAGAGGGUGACCGGCCACAUUGGGAAUGAGAUACGGCCCAGAAUCCUACGGGAGGCAGCAGUGGGGAAAAUUGAACAAUGGGCGGAAGCCUGAUGCAGCAACGCCGCGUGCGGGAUGACGGCCUUCGGGUUGUAAACCGCUUUCGCCUGUGACGAAGCGUGAGUGACGGUAAUGGGUAAAGAAGCACCGGAUAACUACGUG
This 468-nucleotide ribosomal RNA is filed under the name uncultured bacterium. Its description in RNAcentral is "partial 16S ribosomal RNA". It matches the Rfam family "Bacterial small subunit ribosomal RNA", at positions 28 to 507 of the family's 1533-position model. The record is from RNAcentral.